This 412-nucleotide ribosomal RNA is filed under the name Aulacobothrus socius. RNAcentral describes it as "eukaryotic LSU rRNA". The record is from RNAcentral. Lineage: Eukaryota; Metazoa; Arthropoda; Insecta; Orthoptera; Acrididae.
AUAUCCAGUAUUUAGCUGUAAAGGAGAGUAACAAGUACGUGAACUGCUUAGAGGUUAAACCCGAUGAACCUAAAUAAAAAGGACCGGAGAAAGUCAUUAUUAUGAGUAUAUUAUUUUAUAAUGUAUUAAUAGUGUGCAUUUUUUUCCAUGUAUAAAAUCAUUGUAAUCUGUUAAUACAAUUUAUAUAUUCUUUUAUAUAUUAUUUUUAUCAUAAAGAGUCUAGAUAAAUAGUUAGUUGUUUACAUAUAAAUUAAUUAAUUUAUUAAUUAAUUGAUGUAAGAUCGAUGAAUUUUGUACAUAUAUUUAACAGUAUUAAAAUAUAUAAUGCUUACAUAAUUUUUUAUGUUUUAUAUAUAAUAUGUACAAUGUUUUUGCAUUUAUAUUAUAACAAUGCUAUAGAUUAGCCGGUUAA